CUACGGGGGGCACCAGUGAGGAAUAUUGCACAAUGGGGGGAACCCUGAUGCAGCAACGCCGCGUGGAGGAUGACGCAUUUCGGUGUGUAAACUCCUUUUAUAUGUCAAGAAAAUGACGGUAGCAUAUGAAUAAGCGCCGGCUAACUCCGUGCCAGCAGCCGCGGUAAUAGGGAGGGCGCAAGCGUUACUCGGAAUCACUGGGCGUAAAGGACGCGUAGGCGGGUUGAAAAGUCAGGUGUGAAAGCCUACAGCUUAACUGUAGAACUGCACUUGAAACUCUCAAUCUAGAGUAUGGGAGGGGCAGAUGGAAUUAGUGGUGUAGGGGUAAAAUCCGUAGAUAUCACUAGGAAUACCUAAAGCGAAGGCGAUCUGCUGGAACAUUACUGACGCUAAGGCGUGAAAGCGUGGGGAGCAAACAGGAUUAGAUACCCUCGUAGUC
Molecule: ribosomal RNA, 439 nt
Filed under: uncultured bacterium
Lineage: Bacteria
Description: partial 16S ribosomal RNA
Rfam family: Bacterial small subunit ribosomal RNA
Source: RNAcentral